GGCGUAAGCGCGCGCAGGUGGCUAUGUAAGUCUGAUGUUAAAGCCCGAGGCUCAACCUCGGUUCGCAUUGGAAACUGUGUAGCUUGAGUGCAGGAGAGGAAAGUGGUAUUCCACGUGUAGCGGUGAAAUGCGUAGAGAUGUGGAGGAACACCAGUGGCGAAGGCGACUUUCUGGCCUGUAACUGACACUGAGGCGCGAAAGCGUGGGGAGCAAACAGGAUUAGAUACCCUGGUAGUCCACGCCGUAAACGAUGAGUGCUAGGUGUU
RNAcentral lists this ribosomal RNA (266 nucleotides) under Brevibacillus laterosporus. RNAcentral describes it as "partial 16S ribosomal RNA". It matches the Rfam family "Bacterial small subunit ribosomal RNA", at positions 557 to 824 of the family's 1533-position model. Lineage: Bacteria; Bacillati; Bacillota; Bacilli; Caryophanales; Paenibacillaceae. The record is from RNAcentral.